GAUGAACGCUGGCGGCGUGCCUAAUACAUGCAAGUCGAGCGAACGGACGAGAAGCUUGCUUCUCUGAUGUUAGCGGCGGACGGGUGAGUAACACGUGGAUAACCUACCUAUAAGACUGGGAUAACUUCGGGAAACCGGAGCUAAUACCGGAUAAUAUUUUGAACCGCAUGGUUCAAAAGUGAAAGACGGUCUUGCUGUCACUUAUAGAUGGAUCCGCGCUGCAUUAGCUAGUUGGUAAGGUAACGGCUUACCAAGGCAACGAUGCAUAGCCGACCUGAGAGGGUGAUCGGCCACACUGGAACUGAGACACGGUCCAGACUCCUACGGGAGGCAGCAGUAGGGAAUCUUCCGCAAUGGGCGAAAGCCUGACGGAGCAACGCCGCGUGAGUGAUGAAGGUCUUCGGAUCGUAAAACUCUGUUAUUAGGGAAGAACAUAUGUGUAAGUAACUGUGCACAUCUUGACGGUACCUAAUCAGAAAGCCACGGCUAACUACGUGCCAGCAGCCGCGGUAAUACGUAGGUGGCAAGCGUUAUCCGGAAUUAUUGGGCGUAAAGCGCGCGUAGGCGGUUUUUUAAGUCUGAUGUGAAAGCCCACGGCUCAACCGUGGAGGGUCAUUGGAAACUGGAAAACUUGAGUGCAGAAGAGGAAAGUGGAAUUCCAUGUGUAGCGGUGAAAUGCGCAGAGAUAUGGAGGAACACCAGUGGCGAAGGCGACUUUCUGGUCUGUAACUGACGCUGAUGUGCGAAAGCGUGGGGAUCAAACAGGAUUAGAUACCCUGGUAGUCCACGCCGUAAACGAUGAGUGCUAAGUGUUAGGGGGUUUCCGCCCCUUAGUGCUGCAGCUAACGCAUUAAGCACUCCGCCUGGGGAGUACGACCGCAAGGUUGAAACUCAAAGGAAUUGACGGGGACCCGCACAAGCGGUGGAGCAUGUGGUUUAAUUCGAAGCAACGCGAAGAACCUUACCAAAUCUUGACAUCCUUUGACAACUCUAGAGAUAGAGCCUUCCCCUUCGGGGGACAAAGUGACAGGUGGUGCAUGGUUGCCGUCAGCUCGUGUCGUGAGAUGUUGGGUUAAGUCCCGCAACGAGCGCAACCCUUAAGCUUAGUUGCCAUCAUUAAGUUGGGCACUCUAAGUUGACUGCCGGUGACAAACCGGAGGAAGGUGGGGAUGACGUCAAAUCAUCAUGCCCCUUAUGAUUUGGGCUACACACGUGCUACAAUGGACAAUACAAAGGGCAGCGAAACCGCGAGGUCAAGCAAAUCCCAUAAAGUUGUUCUCAGCUCGGAUUGUAGUCUGCAACUCGACUACAUGAAGCUGGAAUCGCUAGUAAUCGUAGAUCAGCAUGCUACGGUGAAUACGUUCCCGGGUCU
Molecule: ribosomal RNA, 1372 nt
Filed under: uncultured bacterium
Lineage: Bacteria
Description: bacterial SSU rRNA
Rfam family: Bacterial small subunit ribosomal RNA
Source: RNAcentral